AUGGAACAGAAGCUACAUGGGGCUGCUUUGUUCUUGAACCCAAAUAAGUCCUUUGCCAUUAAGGAGUCCAACAAAAGACAAGCUUCCCGUCUCCGUUCAAUGUUCAAUGAUGUGCUAUGGAAGAUGGUGCCCGAUGAUGAGCAACAAGCAACUAUAAGUAAGGAAGCUGACGGCUAUGAGUUGGGGAGUGCAUGUUUCUCGAAGCCAUUGUCAAUUAAAGACCGUGACAAAAAAGCCCUCGUUCUUUGGUGGAAUGCUUAUGGUGGCCUUGCUUUUGACCUCCAAACUCUUGCAAUCAUUAGUCUAUGUUGUUCAGCAUCUGGCUGCGAGCGCAAUUGGAGUGUAUUUGCUCAUAUCCACACCAAAGGGAGAAACCGUCUAGAGUACAAGAGAUUGAACAAGCUAUCAUAUGUCUCGUACAACCGGAAAAUGGAAGCCAGGUUUCAGAAUCUUCGUGAGCAAGGCUCUAAAGCAAAGAAAUCUAGUCCACUUGUCCUAGAAGAAUUCCAAUGGGAUAAUGAAUGGGUUGAUAUCAAUGCUGAACUGGGUGAAACACCACUACUAUGGUCUCAAGUUGAUGAAGCCAUGGGUGCGUCGACUUCUCUAGCAGGCCGCAACUAUCCUAGGAGAGCUCGUGGUGAUCCUGGCGAGUCUAUUGCACGACCCAUAUGCCCUUAUAUCACCUACACUCGAAACAAUGCAAGAACAAGGCUGGUUGUGCAUGAUGAAGAGUUGAGGGCUGAAUUAGAAGCGGCAGACUAUGACAAAGACAUGGAGAGCAGCGAUGAAGAGGAUGUUGAAUCGCCAGAUGAUGAAGACACCGAAUUUCAGCUUGAAAACAUGGAGCUUGAGGCUUGA
Molecule: ribosomal RNA, 858 nt
Filed under: Triticum aestivum (bread wheat)
Lineage: Eukaryota; Viridiplantae; Streptophyta; Magnoliopsida; Poales; Poaceae
Description: partial small subunit ribosomal RNA
Source: RNAcentral